GGCAGGAUUGGUUCCUGCAUGAUCAUUUGAGAGAAAGGAGGGUCAGUGCAGAUGUCCUCACCGUAAGCAGUGGGAGCGCGGCAGAGCUCUUCGAUUCGCCGGUUCAUCUCCUGGAAUCUCUGAUCCAGGAGGUCCUCUCGAUUGCGGGCCUCGAGGGUCUUCUGGUGGAGCAGAGGCAGGGACUCUCCGGGGGUUGAAUCAUGAUCGGACGGAGGACUCUCCACCUUCUAUUUUUCUUUUCUAGGAAAGACAG
RNAcentral lists this long non-coding RNA (253 nucleotides) under Elaeis guineensis (African oil palm). Its description in RNAcentral is "long non-coding RNA (EGUI_LNC067702)". The record is from RNAcentral. Lineage: Eukaryota; Viridiplantae; Streptophyta; Magnoliopsida; Arecales; Arecaceae.